AGCGAACAUUGGCGGUAGGCUUAACACAUGCAAGUCGAGCGAGGCGUAAUAGUCGAGCGGCGAACGGGUGAGUAAUACAUGGGAAUCUACCUCGAAGUGGGGGAUAACGUUCAGAAAUGGACGCUAAUACCGCAUAAUCCGGGAACGGGAAAGCGCGCUGCGCUUUGAGAUGAGCCCAUGGCUGAUUAGCUAGUUGGGGGGGUAAAGGCCUACCAAGGCGACGAUCAGUAGCUGGUCUGAGAGGAUGAUCAGCCACACUGGAACUGAGACACGGGCCAGACUCCUACGGGAGGCAGCAGUGGGGAAUCUUGCGCAAUGGGGGCAACCCUGACGCAGCCAUACCGCGUGUGCGAUGAAGGUCUUCGGAUUGUAAAGCACUUUCAGUGGGGACGACGAUGACGGUACCCACAGAAGAAGUCACGGCUAACUUCGUGCCAGCCGCCGCAGUAA
This 450-nucleotide ribosomal RNA is filed under the name uncultured bacterium. RNAcentral describes it as "partial 16S ribosomal RNA". It matches the Rfam family "Bacterial small subunit ribosomal RNA", at positions 29 to 523 of the family's 1533-position model. The record is from RNAcentral.